GGGCCUGAUCUGGCAUCGACGGAAGGGUACAGAGAGUGUUGAGCUCGAGCCGAGGAACGACAGUUUCCUCGUAAAUCUUUCUGUCGGCACACUACAUGCCAAAGUAGCUAAGAACGUUUGGGACACGGUCGCUUCGGCGUUCCGUCUUCCAGCGCUCGCAGUCGCUUAAACGACUGCCGCGACCAGAGCGUCCACCUGACGCGUUCUGGAUCCGCGUCCACCCGUCAAGUGUAGGUGGCGCGAGAGCGCUCCGGGUAGCGUCACCGAAGUAACGCGGAGCAACCUUACGCUCGUCAACCACGCAGUCUCUCCUUUCGGACGGCGGUUCGAUUCCGCCCAGGUCCACCA
This 348-nucleotide transfer-messenger RNA is filed under the name Candidatus Berkelbacteria bacterium. It matches the Rfam family "transfer-messenger RNA". Rfam says of the family: Bacterial tmRNA, also known as 10Sa RNA or SsrA, is named for its dual tRNA and mRNA-like properties. The record is from RNAcentral. Lineage: Bacteria; Candidatus Berkelbacteria.